Molecule: ribosomal RNA, 253 nt
Filed under: uncultured bacterium
Lineage: Bacteria
Description: partial 16S ribosomal RNA
Rfam family: Bacterial small subunit ribosomal RNA
Source: RNAcentral
UACGAAGGGUGCUAGCGUUGCUCGGAAUUACUGGGCGUAAAGGGCGCGUAGGCGGACAGUUUAGUCAGAGGUGAAAGCCCAGGGCUCAACCUUGGAACUGCCUUUGAUACUGACUGUCUUGAGUUCGGGAGAGGUGAGUGGAAUGCCGAGUGUAGAGGUGAAAUUCGUAGAUAUUCGGCGGAACACCAGUGGCGAAGGCGACUCACUGGCCCGAUACUGACGCUGAGGCGCGAAAGCGUGGGGAGCAAACAGG